CAGCCUGUUCUGGACCCUUUGAUGGCUACAGCAUGCACAUCACCAGCACCCCCAACGUUGGUGAUUAAAACCAGGUUGAAGUAGGAGUGGCCAUUGAUUGUGAAUCGUAUGCCUCCUCUCCUCCUACAGGGUACCCUUCUAUAGGCCACAGGAACAAUUCCAGCUCUGUAUUGAGCAUGUGCUGGAAGACAGGCUGAGAGAGGUCAAAGUGCUGCUGAGGAGGGUUGCACCAGCCCCCUGCAUUGUUAGGCAGAGCAUUGUUUGGAGGGCAGAAAUUAGUGGCCGUGACCACAAUGGAACCAGGCAGGCACCAUUUGGGGUCAUUCACACAUCUAAUCUCAUAGCAAGAUCCACAACUCAACCCAUUGUUGAACAAAGCAGUGCUCAAUGCUGCAG
RNAcentral lists this unclassified non-coding RNA (396 nucleotides) under Hevea brasiliensis (rubber tree). The record is from RNAcentral. Lineage: Eukaryota; Viridiplantae; Streptophyta; Magnoliopsida; Malpighiales; Euphorbiaceae.